This 864-nucleotide ribosomal RNA is filed under the name uncultured fungus. Its description in RNAcentral is "SSU rRNA". It matches the Rfam family "Eukaryotic small subunit ribosomal RNA", at positions 564 to 1459 of the family's 1831-position model. The record is from RNAcentral. Lineage: Eukaryota; Fungi.
GUGCCAGCAGCCGCGGUAAUUCCAGCUCCAAUAGCGUAUAUUAAAGUUGUUGUGGUUAAAAAGCUCGUAGUUGAGCCUUGGGCCUGGCUGGCCGGUCCGCCUCACCGCGUGCACUGGUCCGGCCGGGCCUUUCCCUCUGUGGAACCCCAUACCCUUCACUGGGCGUGGCGGGGAAACAGGACAUUUACUUUGAAAAAAUUAGAGUGCUCCAGGCAGGCCUAUGCUCGAAUACAUUAGCAUGGAAUAAUAAAAUAGGACGCGCGGUUCUAUUUUGUUGGUUUAUAGGACCGCCGUAAUGAUUAAUAGGGACAGUCGGGGGCAUCAGUAUUCAACUGUCAGAGGUGAAAUUCUUGGAUCAGUUGAAGACUAACUACUGCGAAAGCAUUUGCCAAGGAUGUUUUCAUUAAUCAGGAACGAAAGUUAGGGGAUCGAAGACGAUCAGAUACCGUCGUAGUCUUAACCAUAAACUAUGCCGACUAGGGAUCGGACGGUGUUAUUCAUGACCCGUUCGGCACCUUACGAGAAAUCAAAGUGCUUGGGCUCCAGGGGGAGUAUGGUCGCAAGGCUGAAACUUAAAGAAAUUGACGGAAGGGCACCACCAGGGUGGAGCCUGCGGCUUAAUUUGACUCAACACGGGGAAACUCACCAGGUCCAGACACAAUAAGGAUUGACAGAUUGAGAGCUCUUUCUUGAUUUUGUGGGUGGUGGUGCAUGGCCGUUCUUAGUUGGUGGGGUGACUUGUCUGCUUAAUUGCGAUACGAACGAGACCUUAACCUGCUAAAUAGCCCGCAUUGCUCCGGCAGUGCGCUGGCUUCUUAGAGGGACUUUCGGCUCAAGGCCGAAGGAAGUUUGAGGCAAUAACAG